UGUUAAGUAGGUUCAGUGGUUUGAGUGUUGGACUAGGGCACUGGGAGACCAGGGUUCGAAUCCCAGCUUGGCCA
This is a non-coding RNA of Phrynosoma platyrhinos (Desert horned lizard), 74 nucleotides long. Lineage: Eukaryota; Metazoa; Chordata; Lepidosauria; Squamata; Phrynosomatidae. The record is from the annotation of a GenBank genome assembly.